Molecule: small RNA, 173 nt
Filed under: Streptomyces uncialis
Lineage: Bacteria; Bacillati; Actinomycetota; Actinomycetes; Kitasatosporales; Streptomycetaceae
Description: c-di-AMP sequence
Rfam family: c-di-AMP riboswitch aptamer (ydaO/yuaA leader)
About the family: This family represents a conserved RNA structure found upstream of the ydaO and yuaA genes in Bacillus subtilis and related genes in other bacteria. The ydaO/yuaA element is thought to act as a genetic "off" switch for the ydaO and yuaA genes in its native state.
Source: Rfam by way of RNAcentral
GCUGCCCGGACGCCAGGUCGACAGAAGUGCAUCGGCAGGAGUGGAGGACCCAGGUACGACGGGCCGCCGGAGAGAUCCGGACGGCCCUUGGGGUGAAGCCGCGCGAGCGGCCGGGCAUCUUCGCCUGCCCGAACCCGACAGGUCAUCCUUCACAGGCGGCUGACGAAGGGUUU